Molecule: ribosomal RNA, 492 nt
Filed under: uncultured bacterium
Lineage: Bacteria
Description: partial 16S ribosomal RNA
Rfam family: Bacterial small subunit ribosomal RNA
Source: RNAcentral
AGUGAACGCUGGCGGCAGGCUUAACACAUGCAAGUCGAACGGCAACACCGUUAGAGUUUGUGCCUACGGGCGGAGAGUGGAGGAAUGGAGCGGAAUACACCGGAAUCUACUGUUUAGCUGGGCGAAAGGUUGGCUAAUACAGCAUAAUAUCGAAUGCGAACAGCAGGUGACAGUAGGGCAUCUCGCGACCAGACGGGCUGAUGUGAGACGAUGUCGGAUUAGGUAGUUGGGGGGGUAAAGGCCAACCAAGGCGACGAUCCGUAGCUGGUCUGAGAGGAUGAUCAGCCACACUGGAACUGAGACACGGCCCAGACUCCUACGGGAGGCAGCAGUGGGGAAUAUUGGACAAUGGGCGCAAGCCUGAUCCAGCCAUGCCGCGUGGAUGAAGAAGGCCUUCGGGUUGUAAAGCGCUUUUGUUGGGAAAGAAAAGCAGCAGGUUAAUACCCCGCUGUUCUGACGGUACCCAAAGAAUAAGCACCGGCUAACUUCGUG